GUGCGUGAGGGUGUCCAAGGUGGGGAGGGGUGAGCAGCAUUUCCAGAGGUGGACACAGCAAGUCCAAGAAGGAAGGAAGGAUGCCUCAUGGGAGGAAGGUGGAUAUCAUUUGAGGUAAUUGAUGGUGGUCAGUCAAGCAGGAAGCUAGACUAGCCACCUACCACCUCACCAUGCAUCUAAGACAGGGAAGGGUGGCACCAAGGUCACAACAGAUAAUACUUAACCAACACCAGUAAUAACCAGGGAAAAUAAGAUUCAGUAGGUUUGGUUGGUAGGUUAGAUUAAACAAAUGGAGCCAAGAGACUGAAUCAGAAAAGCAGUGAAGGUGGUGCAAAGGAAGAAGCAAUAGUGAUGAUCAGGAGAGAAGCUGAGGUGUUGAAUAUUAUAUCAAAGCAGCCUUUAAUGAGGAAUAAUCAAAAUAAAGAGAUGAAGAGGCAAAAGGCACAAGUUUGCUUUAGAAGUAACAAAUAGAAUGGAGAUACAUAAGAUAAAGGUGUAUUUAUGUUAAGGGCAGUACUGUACAGUGCAGUACAAUUAAGUUAUACAGUAGACGGUAAAAGUAAUAAGUAUGGAAAACAAGUAACAAUUAAGUGAGGAUUACAAUUAACAAUUUAAGGUAGAUAACAUGUAACAUGGUAAGAUCAGUUGUAAAAAUUUAAGAUAGAUAACAAGUAACAAUUAAUGUAAUAUAUGGGUAACAAUAAUGGUAAAAUAACAGACAUCAAUUCCAGCAAGAUAAUAAAGACCAUUUAGAGUAAAAUAACAAGUAAUAAUUUAGGGAAGUUAACAAGUUAACCAGGGUUAAUAGGUAAUAAUUUAUGGAAAUCAACAAGUAAUAACUAGGAACAUUGGGUAAUAAUUCAGGGAAGAUAACAAAAAACAAUUAAAGUAAAAACAAAGGCUAAUAUUUAGACAAGCUAAAUGUAAUAAUUUGGAUAAGAAAAUGGCUAACAAACAAUAUAACAAAAAAAUUCAAGAAAAAGUGAAUAUGGAAUAAGAAACAAAAUCACAAAAGAACCAUCAAAAGGAGGCAAUAAUAAUUACAACAAAAAAAUCAAUUUAAGAUGGAAUUGGGCAUUUAAGGCAAUAGGGAAUGAUGAAGGUAAUUGGGGACACUUAGGGUGAGGAGGAAAAAGCAAAACACAGGAGUAGGAAGAGAAAAAGAGGAACAUACAGGAGUAAGAAAACAAGUACUGUAUUGUAGUGAAAGAUAAAGUAACAGCUAGCACUGUGAACUCUCAAUAUGGCCAAUUUGUGCAUGAUAACUAUUCAUUUACUAUAAUUUCUCAAAAGAUAAAAAGUAACUUUAAUGACAUGUAGCAUUAACUUUGUACUGUACAGUUAUUAAGCAAUAGUAAUAUUUUUUCCCAGACUUUAUUUUCAGUUCUAUCACCAAGUUUCAAGAUACAAUAUUCUAGAGAACUUUGAAUAAAAGGUUUGUUUCCUUGAUCCACUCUAAAGAAACAAAACUGGAAGAGGAAGAUAUUAGAAACAUAUGAUUUACUAUCAUUAGUUUCUCCAGGUCUAUGAAAGUCAACGUUGAAGCCGAUUCUUUUCAUUAAGAUUAGGAACCCCUAAUUUGGCAUUCUUAAAACUAUCUUAAUUGCUUGUGUUAUGCAAUUUGUACAGGAGAAAAAGCAACAGAUCACAUGAUCUAGUCUGUACAGUAAGCAUUAGGAGUUAUGAUGUAGUGGAUAUAGACUUAAUUACAGUAGAAGGAAAUUCUUUAAAAAAUUGUCAGUCAAUCAAAUGUUCUUGGUGCUAUACAUGAAGAUACAUGUUUCAGUCAUAUACGUACUGUAAUUAUUAAUGUUCAAUAUUUUGUAUUGCCAACUUUUCAAGCUAAUUUUCUGGCCAUUAGCUAUGAUUAUCCUCAUUCCAAUAACUUUGGUUUAGCUUCUGUGUUAACAUAAGAUUAAUAUCAACAAAAACAAUUAAAGAAAGCAAACUGAAAGUGUAGUGUAUGUAAUUAUUUGUGCAAUAUUGCUGCCAGUGCAAGCAUAAGCUGUGAAAACAAUUCUGCUAACACUAUGCUUGGUGCUAUGUUUGAAGUACCAGCUACUGCCUCAUGGAAUUUUGACACAGUGGGCAGAGCUUCCUAGGGUGGGAGUUGACGUUUGCAUCAGCCAUACUAGAAAGAAUCACUAUAAGGUAUAAUAAGUGUCAUUACACAGCUCUGGAGAUGAUUAAUUUGGAUAUUCUAGAGAAAAUCAUUAUAGUAUACAAGAGUCACUAUGGUGUGCAAGAUAAUUGUUAAGAGUACAAGAGGAUCACUAGAGCCUACAAGAGGAUCACUGGGGCGGCCUACAAGAGGAUCACUGGGGCCUACAAGAGGAUCACUAGGGCGCCUACAAGAGGAUCACUGGGGCCUACAAGAGGAUCACUAGGGCGGCCUACAAGAGGAUCACUGGGGCCUACAAGAGGAUCAUUAGGAUCUACAAGAGAGUACCACUGGGAUAGCCAAGUAAUUAGGCCAUGAGUUGAACAAGGAAGGAGGUGCUACGGUGCUAGUGACUGGUCCGUGUUGAAGCAUCGAGGUGGCGAUGCCAAAAAGUGGCAAAAAACCUGUGCUUUACCUGUGCAUUUUAUUUGUUACUGUAUUCAUUGGAUUUUAAGCACAAAAAAUCACUUCUUACCUUUAGAAGCACAGUCCCCAUAUUUCAUGAGCCAUUUGUAGUGUUCUGGGCACUUCUUAAAGUACAGUACAGUACACCAUCAUACAGGUUUAGUUGGUUUAGAAUUCUCAAAUUUAUAUUCCCAGUUAUCUGACUUUGCAUCUCAUUUAUCAUCUGCAAUCCUUGUACCUCUCAGCUGAUAAUGUAAUUUUUCUUUAAAGUUCACCUCAAGACAUUACUUAAUCUAUUACAUGCCUAUAAAUUUCCCCGUGACUUCCUUCCCAAUUUACCACAUUUGACUAAAGUUUUUAUAUUAAUUUUUUUUUCAUGAAAUUCGUACCCUAACAACUUCAUCUCUCUCUUCAGUUUCAUCUCUGCAUUAAUAUGUUUAAUAACUUCAUCAUCAAUUAAUUCUUCCAUUUAAUUGCUAUGUUUCUUGAAGCAGCCAUCUCAUUUACGAGCCGAUUAGUGGUGAAGAGGAUAAAAGUGCAUGAGAGUGUUUACAAAUGAUAAUACAAGUGAACUAUAGUUCACAUGUAACACUCUCUCCCUUUAUGAGACUCAUCCACAGAAUUUUUCAUCAACAUUAGCAUUUCACCUCAUUAUGUUCAAAAUAUUUCUACAAGUUUUUUAUAUUCAGCAAAAAGAAUGUAUUUCUUAAGAGAAAUAUUGUCCCACAUUUACAAACUAUUCACCAGUAUGUCAUGGUUUCUCACUACAACACUAGUUAGUGCCACACAUAUGCCCCUCACCAAUGCAGCUGAUAACCAAUUCUUGAUUACCCUGUACUGUACUGUACUGUACUGUAUUGUAUUUGGCAAUUUACUCGGAGGCAAAAUGAAAAACUUUUAUGCAAGAGGGUCUGUGGGCCAUAAUCUCACUCAAUAACUACAAUAAGAACAUGAUUUGGUGAUAAAUUUUGUCUUCAUAAAACAAUUAAUGUUGUGGUUCACCGAUUACUAACACAAUAUUAAUUUGUAGUACUUUAAUUUAUAGAUGUGUCCUCAACAUUGCAUCAUGAAGUUCACACUAAGUUCAAAGAACAUGCCUCCUUACACAUGUGUGUAAAUGGAGAAGGAAAACAUUGGUAAAUAUGAACAAGCGCAGGAACAAAUACUGUGUUUAGUUUAAUAUUAACGGAAACCCUUGUUCACAUAUUGUGAUGAUAAGAGUGCUGAAUCCCCAAACACAACAAAUACAAACUCUGCAUCCUGUUAUGUUGAGAUAAAAAAAUAAAUUAAAUAAAUUAAAUUUGUUUUGACACUGAUCAAUUCUUCAGUAAAGCCAAACUAGCAAAAUGUUUAAUUCUUUUGAUUUUUUUUUAAUCAAAACAUUUGGGAAAAUAUUUUUAUCUAUAAAUUAAAAACAAUUAAUUAAUUCAUUACAGUAUAAGAAUCUUUGAUGAAUGUAGCACGACCCUGUGCAGUAUCUAGCACUGUAUUCCUCAUUCUUUCCAAUAAAAUUAACUGCCUAAGACAUGGAGAAAGUAC
Long non-coding RNA from Homarus americanus (American lobster), 4105 nucleotides. RefSeq lists it as uncharacterized. NCBI's taxonomy places the organism in Eukaryota, Metazoa, Arthropoda, Malacostraca, Decapoda, Nephropidae. The record is from RefSeq and is a predicted model, not a curated record. The transcript has 2 exons.